UUUAAUAUGGCAGAUAAAGUGCAAUAGAUUUAAAUCCUAUUUAUAAAGAAUCUUCUUUUAUUAAUA
Molecule: transfer RNA, 66 nt
Filed under: Polyrhachis jianghuaensis
Lineage: Eukaryota; Metazoa; Arthropoda; Insecta; Hymenoptera; Formicidae
Description: tRNA-Leu
Source: RNAcentral